UAUUAUUAUUAUUAUUUUUUUUAUUUUUUUGUUUAUGUUUAUUAUAUUUUGCUAUUGUUAUAUUUUAGAAAUACCAUGCAUGCUACUCUAUUACACCAUAGUGUAAAUAUUUUUUUUUUCUAAUAGGCUAUGUAAGCAGCAUACAGUAAAUAUCAUUAUUGAUAAUUGUAGAUAUUGCAUAGAACAAAAUAAAAUAAAAUAAACCAAUAAUG
This 212-nucleotide long non-coding RNA is filed under the name Lathyrus oleraceus (garden pea). RNAcentral describes it as "Pisum sativum (pea) long non-coding RNA (PSAT_LNC020356)". Lineage: Eukaryota; Viridiplantae; Streptophyta; Magnoliopsida; Fabales; Fabaceae. The record is from RNAcentral.